Molecule: small nucleolar RNA, 94 nt
Filed under: Tetrahymena elliotti 4EA
Lineage: Eukaryota; Ciliophora; Oligohymenophorea; Hymenostomatida; Tetrahymenidae
Description: Tetrahymena snoRNA TtnuHACA12
Rfam family: Tetrahymena snoRNA TtnuHACA12
Source: Rfam by way of RNAcentral
AAUGAUAAAAAUUUUAUUAUUUCAGCAAAAAUAUAAUAAACCAUUUCUAGCGAUAUGAUUAUGUAAACCAUAAGGCUGCGAAGGGGUCUAAUUG